RNAcentral lists this ribosomal RNA (409 nucleotides) under Fusobacteriota bacterium. RNAcentral describes it as "Fusobacteria bacterium partial 16S ribosomal RNA". It matches the Rfam family "Bacterial small subunit ribosomal RNA", at positions 355 to 776 of the family's 1533-position model. Lineage: Bacteria; Fusobacteriati; Fusobacteriota. The record is from RNAcentral.
UGGGGAAUAUUGCACAAUGGAGGGAACUCUGAUGCAGCAACGCCGCGUGCGGGAUGACGGCCUUCGGGUUGUAAACCGCUUUCAGCCAUGACGAAGCUUUUGUGACGGUAGUGGUAGAAGAAGCACCGGCUAACUACGUGCCAGCAGCCGCGGUGAUACGUAGGGUGCGAGCGUUGUCCGGAAUUAUUGGGCGUAAAGAGCUUGUAGGCGGUUUGUCGCGUCGAUAGUGUAAACACGCAGCUUAACUGUGUGCCUGCUGUCGAUACGGGCUGACUAGAGGAGGGUAGGGGAGAAUGGAAUUCCCGGUGGAGCGGUGGAAUGCGCAGAUAUCGGGAGGAACACCAGUGGCGAAGGCGGUUCUCUGGACCUUUCCUGACGCUGAGAAGCGAAAGCGUGAGUAGCAAACAGG